Long non-coding RNA from Cavia porcellus (domestic guinea pig), 737 nucleotides. RefSeq lists it as uncharacterized. The record is from RefSeq and is a predicted model, not a curated record. NCBI's taxonomy places the organism in Eukaryota, Metazoa, Chordata, Mammalia, Rodentia, Caviidae. The transcript is spliced from 3 exons.
ACAACAUAAAAAGGAGAACUGAAGAGGAAGAUGUGAUGCUGUUGGUUCUCCUGGAGAGGCUUGUCAUGCUGGCUUUCCUGAUAUGAACUCGGCUCUUCUCAUAAUCAGAGGAGGAAUCAGGUGGCAGGAGCAGAGCAAGAGAAGCCGAGAGGAGGCUGCGUCUCUCACUGACGUCUCAGCUCAGGCCUUUGUCCCCGAAGGUGUCCAUUCUAGAGCAGCAUCUCCUCGGAAUUCAUGCUGCAGUGACUGAGUGAUCAAGCUGUUACCACGUUGCUUAACAGUCCAUUUGCUGCUGGGGUUGUUUGUAUUUGAGACUCAACAGAUUUACAGGUUUCUUAUGAAGUAAGAGAGGUGAAUUUAGCACACAUCUCUGGAGUUUUAAAGUCCAUGAUUGGGCAGCCCCAUUGGUUUGGCCUCUAAUGGGGGCAGUUGAGGCAGGCACAUCGUAUCAGGAGCACUUUAGAAGCAGUCACGUCUCAAAUUGGGAGAGAGAGAGAAGAGAAGAUCCAUGUGGUCCACACCAUCUUCCAACAUCAUUCUGCUGGAUUACAGGAGGCUCUGCCCUAAGACUACAGCUCUGAAAUGUCCAUAGCGCCUCCUUCUGGACCAAGGCCUCCAUUACAACUGACACUCCAUUGAAUGGUGUUCCUCCCACAGCCGGCGCUAUCCAGUCCCUGAAGAGUGUGAAUGUGUUUGGACCCUUUUACUGUAAAAACGUUGAAUCAAUAAAAGAUUAU